CUUAUUUGAUAGUACCUUACUACAUGGAUACCUGUGGUAAUUCUAGAGCUAAUACAUGCUGAAAACCUCGACUUCGGAAGGGGUGUAUUUAUUAGAUAAAAAACCAAUGCCCGUUCGGGGCUCCUUGGUGAAUCAUAAUAACUUAACGAAUCGCAUGGCCUUGCGCCGGCGAUGGUUCAUUCAAAUUUCUGCCCUAUCAACUUUCGAUGGUAGGAUAGUGGCCUACCAUGGUGGCAACGGGUAACGGGGAAUUAGGGUUCGAUUCCGGAGAGGGAGCCUGAGAAACGGCUACCACAUCCAAGGAAGGCAGCAGGCGCGCAAAUUACCCAAUCCCGACACGGGGAGGUAGUGACAAUAAAUACUGAUACGGGGCUCUUUUGGGUCUCGUAAUUGGAAUGAGUACAAUCUAAAUCCCUUAACGAGGAACAAUUGGAGGGCAAGUCUGGUGCCAGCAGCCGCGGUAAUUCCAGCUCCAAUAGCGUAUAUUAAAGUUGUUGCAGUUAAAAAGCUCGUAGUUAACCUUGGGUCUGGCUGGCCGGUCCGCCUCACCGCGAGUACUGGUCCGGCUGGACCUUUCCUUCUGGGGAAUCUCAUGGCCUUCACUGGCUGUGGGGGGAACCAGGACUUUUACUGUGAAAAAAAUUAGAGUGUUCAAAGCAGGCCUUUGCUCGAAUACAUUAGCAUGGAAUAAUAGAAUAGGACGUGCGGUUCUAUUUUGUUGGUUUCAGUAAGGA
RNAcentral lists this ribosomal RNA (734 nucleotides) under Aspergillus niger. Its description in RNAcentral is "SSU rRNA". It matches the Rfam family "Eukaryotic small subunit ribosomal RNA", at positions 116 to 860 of the family's 1831-position model. The record is from RNAcentral. Lineage: Eukaryota; Fungi; Ascomycota; Eurotiomycetes; Eurotiales; Aspergillaceae.